Molecule: ribosomal RNA, 118 nt
Filed under: Bemisia tabaci
Lineage: Eukaryota; Metazoa; Arthropoda; Insecta; Hemiptera; Aleyrodidae
Source: RNAcentral
GUCAACGGCCAUACACGUUGAAAGCACCGGUUUCUCGUCCGAUCACCGAAGUUAAACAAUGUCGGGUGCAGUUAGUACUUAGAUGGAGACCGCUUGAGAACACUGCGUGCUGUUGACC